RNAcentral lists this long non-coding RNA (2977 nucleotides) under Actinidia chinensis (golden kiwifruit). RNAcentral's name for it is "long non-coding RNA (ACHI_LNC000741)". Lineage: Eukaryota; Viridiplantae; Streptophyta; Magnoliopsida; Ericales; Actinidiaceae. The record is from RNAcentral.
UGAAAGGAUUAAAUGAAGGUUCAGCCUCACUAUAUUAGCAAGAAAGUGUGCAAGACUCUAGAAACCAGAAAACAGCCAAGAUUCUUGUUUCUCUUUAAGCAACAACUGAACCAGUUGUUCCACGAUUACUAUGUCCGUAUGUUCUUCAUUUUUCCAUCUCUAAAUUGCUUUGAUCCAGACGUUGAAGGACUCCUCUCUCCAUGAUGAUCAGUAGCAAUACUUUAACCAAACGCAGGAUAUGCGCAAAAAUUAUAAGAUCUUAAAAAGCAUUCCAUGCUAAAUCUCCGUCUUACAAAAAAAAAUGGGUUGUGGCAACGGCGAUCUCAAUGGUGGUAAGAAUCAAAAGGCAACCACUGAAAAUAUCAGACACAAAAAAAUCACAAUUAGUCUUUCUAAUUCCUUGCAAAAAAAAUAAAUAAAUGUUCUAAGAUGGAAGUGCGUAAUAUUUAGGGGGUACCGAAUCCAUGAAAGCAAUUUUUAGCCGACUUCAGUUAGAAGCCAAGCUAGUGAGAAAGGAGCUCACUUCUCAUAAUCAUCAACCAAAUUUGGUGUUAUUGUAAAUCUACGAGGAAGUUGCGUAAUAUGUAGCCUAUUUUUCUAAUAUCAAGUAUCACGCAGAUGGAACUUACUGACAUAUUAAUAUCGUAGCCUACUUCAGGAUCACUCAAAGUUUCGGUGGGAAUCUUUCAUUCACAAUAAUCUUUGACGUCCAUCAAGUGAUCCACUUGUUCCCCAUUUACCAGCAAGAAAGUCAUGACAUGCUAUGGCCUGCCUAUGACCUGGGUUGGGGAUACGUAAAUAAUCAGAACAAAGAUCAAAAAACUGUGUGUGUGUGUGUGGGAGAGAGAGAGAGAGAGCAAAAAAUACACAAAACAAUAGAUAUCAAAGGAAAGAGCAUCAAGAAAUAUCAUAAAAAAAUCUCACAUAAAAAAUAAACCAAUCACAAAUUCAUAUCUGGAAAACAGAAAGAAAGAAUAGACAAAAAAAAAAAACGCAAUGAAUUGGACAUUUAUGAAAAAUGUUGAUUAAACUUUAGAAAAAAUGAGAGGGCUUCGAUUCCUUUAAUUCUAGAAUUUUACAUAUUAUGGAAUCUGAAUAUUGUGCAAAUAGAUUUCCAGAAAUGAAUCCCCAAUGACAAGGAGCGUACGCAUAACCAAGCAACAUAAAACUUGAAACAAACUAAGUGCAGCAGACCCAAGUCCUGGCUGAGGGACCACAAUUUAUCUGAUUAAGUAACCUAAUUGCUUGAACCAAAAACUACUUCAUUCUUGAUUCCCUUCGUUCAACAAUAAAAAAAAUUCGGUUCAUAGACAAAAAAAAUUAUGUUUUACCAUCAAACCCAGCCAUGCUUGUGUUUAUUUUCCCUAGCAACGCAAUACUGCACGGAACAAAGUUUUAUUCCGUGCCUCACGAAGAACUGAUGAAGGCCUCAUGACUAUCUUACGUCUAUCUCCAACAAGCUCGAAUUAAUUCUCACGAAAGGAUGUUGAACACACGCCCAGAAGCUGCACACAAUUUUUAAGUAAAAUAAUUACACCCGCAAAGGAGAGGUGUGUUUACAGGCCACCUCCACACUAAAAUCUUUGGCAACUGGCCAUUUUAAUAUUUGACAUCAUUUAUAACAACAAGAAGGAAGUCAAUUUUCCCCAGAAAAUAGCAAGAGUUAGAUAAGGGGAUGUGAUUUGAUUUUUUCAUCUGAUGUAAUAUUCAACCUAGUACUCGGGUUUGCUCAUUCCCCAUGGUGCAAGAAAUGAAAAAAAAUAUUCAGAUAACAAACAUAGGAAGAACAGCUCUUUCCUUGAAUGAAUUCCUAUCAGGUUGUAAGUGAGUUGUAUUCAUUGGCUCAGAAGAGUUUCAGAGUUUCAUCUCCGACAUGGGACAUGCCAGUCCAAACAUGUAGGCAAAUAUUAGAACAUCAUGGCCACCCAAGUAUACAGGGUCAUGUUAGACAGAACAAAAGCCAUGCUAAAAUCAGUUUGCAUAAACUUGUAACGAAUCAGCGCAACCAAUGCACUAAAUCACAAAUAAUUGUCACAAGAAGAUUCAGUUGGUAUGACCUUACAAAAAAAACCAAAAAACAAAAUGGGUUCAAAAACAGCGGCGAUCUCAAUGACGUAAGAAAUCAAAAAGGUAACCCAUGAAAAAACCAGAGCACACAAAAAAAUCACAACUAAUCUUUCUAAUAUUAAACUCUUAAUCUUAAAAAGAGAAUGCGAACUUGAUUGCCAAUGCUGCUCAACAGCAAAACUCACAAUUUACAUCUGACGAGCGACACAAAAGAAACGAAUAUCCCAAAAAACCAAUACCAGAGAACUCAAUAACACCAAUUCUUACGCCCCAAAAUUUGUUUAGGUUGGUUAUACUCCACUAAUACAACAAAAAAAAUCCGAAAUAUUAGCGAGGUAAGAAAAACCCAAAAAUGAUGAGACAUAGAAAAGAGUUAAAUAAACAUGAGAGAGGGGGAGAACUAACCAAGAGACAAACCCCAUCACAGGUGGAAAAGAAGUAAGUAUCGAAAUAAAAAAAUUAAAUCUCUGUUAAAGAUGGCGUGAUUUUUCAAAAUAAUUCCCUACAAAUGAGGCCAAAUUCUAUUGCCUUUGAUCUAAUCCGGAGGCUUCAUUAUGUUAAUCUAUAACAAAAAAAAGAAAGCCAACCAAAUAAAUUGUCCAUACUCAUCAUAAAAAAAAAGUGAAUUAAGAAACCACAUGAAAGAAUCCUCACUAUAUUAUCAAGAAAGUGGCAUAUUCUAGAAACCAGAAACAUGCAAGGUUAUUGAUUCUCGUUCAGCCACAAUCUAAACCAGUGUUCCACGAUUACUAUGACCGUCACCGACGCCUUUAUUCGUUUUUCCACCUCUAAAUUGCUUUGAUCCAGCCCUUGAAGGACUCCUCUCUCCAUGACCGAUCAAUAGCAAUACUUUAACCAAACGCCAGAUAUUUCAAUUGCGCAAACAAAUUAUAAGAUCUUAAAAAAGCAU